Mastomys coucha (southern multimammate mouse) is the source of this 371-nucleotide long non-coding RNA. RefSeq lists it as uncharacterized. The transcript is spliced from 4 exons. Lineage: Eukaryota; Metazoa; Chordata; Mammalia; Rodentia; Muridae. The record is from RefSeq and is a predicted model, not a curated record.
GGUUAUCUCACUGAGGAUUUUUUUUCCAUACUUCUAUUCAUUUGUCUGCAAAUUCCAUGAUGACAGUUUUUUACCAGCUGAGUAAUACUCUAUUGUGAAUUUGGAAAUUUGAGCUCUUACAACCCUCAGGAAACCUUCCUCAGGUGGACAGAAAUGUGCUUGCUCAGAAAUGUCCUGCUCCAGCUGCCUGCCUGCCAUUGUGAUCAGAGAGUAUCAUGGGAGAGAAGAUGCCAUUUGGAGGACAGAGGCAAGCUCAGAGAUGACUUCUUCUAUAUGUUCAAAGAUAAUCAUAAAGUAAGAAAGAGACAAAUACUUCCAACUGGGGUUUUUACUUGAGGAAAAAGAAAUACAAAAAUGCUUAGUAAUCACCA